UACGAAGGGGGCUAGCGUUGCUCGGAAUUACUGGGCGUAAAGGGAGCGUAGGCGGACAUUUUAAGUCAGGGGUGAAAUCCCAGAGCUCAACUCUGGAACUGCCUUUGAUACUGGGUGUCUUGAGUGUGAGAGAGGUAUGUGGAACUCCGAGUGUAGAGGUGAAAUUCGUAGAUAUUCGGAAGAACACCAGUGGCGAAGGCGACAUACUGGCUCAUUACUGACGCUGAGGCUCGAAAGCGUGGGGAGCAAACAGG
RNAcentral lists this ribosomal RNA (254 nucleotides) under uncultured bacterium. RNAcentral describes it as "partial 16S ribosomal RNA". It matches the Rfam family "Bacterial small subunit ribosomal RNA", at positions 524 to 776 of the family's 1533-position model. The record is from RNAcentral.